AGUUGAUCCGAUGGGUCGAAUAGUUGUGAGUUGAGUUGUUGUGCUGUUGGUUGAGAGGAUGAAUCAUUGUUAUGUUGUGGAGUUGAGCUGUUUGUUAGAGUUGGCGAGUAGAACUGUUGAGUUAUGAUUAUGUGAGUUUUGUUGGUUUGAGUUGAGUUGUUAUGAUGAUGUGAGUUGAGUUGGUUUGAGUUGAGUUGUUAUGAUGAUGUGAGUUGAGUUGUGUUGGUCUGAGUUAAGUUGUUAUGAUGAUGUGAGUUGAGUUGGUUUGAGUUGAGUUGGUUUGAGCUGUAUUGGUUUGAGUGAGGUUGUUAUGAUGAUGUGAGUUGUGUUGGUUUGAGUGAGUUGUUAUGAUGAUGUGAGUUGAGUUGAGUUGGUCUGAUGUUGUUAUGAUGAUGUGAGUUGAGUGUGUUGGUUUGAGUUGAGUUGUUAUGAUGAUGUGCGUUGAGUUGUGUUGGUUUGAGUUGAGUUGUUAUGAUGAUUUGGUUUGAGUUGAGUUGGUUUGAGUUGAGUUGUUAUGAUGAUGUGAGUUGAGUCGUGUUGAAGUGAGUGCUUUGUGUUAUUAUCCUCAGAGUUUAGUGUAAAGACGAUUCAAAAAGGCCGAUGUGGUUGAGAAUCUCUUCUUGUGGACCAGACCUAAAUGCCAUAAGACAUAAAUGAGACAUGAAAAUGGAUUUUUUUUUUUUUUUCAGUUUGAAAUGUGAGUUUCUUGAAUAAAAAACGC
This is a long non-coding RNA of Ictalurus punctatus (channel catfish), 721 nucleotides long. The record is from Ensembl. NCBI's taxonomy places the organism in Eukaryota, Metazoa, Chordata, Actinopteri, Siluriformes, Ictaluridae.